This 253-nucleotide ribosomal RNA is filed under the name uncultured bacterium. Its description in RNAcentral is "partial 16S ribosomal RNA". It matches the Rfam family "Bacterial small subunit ribosomal RNA", at positions 524 to 776 of the family's 1533-position model. The record is from RNAcentral.
UACAGAGGGUGCAAGCGUUGUUCGGAAUUAUUGGGCGUAAAGAGCUCGUAGGCGGUUUGUCGCGUCUGCCGUGAAAGUCCGGGGCUCAACUCCGGAUCUGCGGUGGGUACGGGCAGACUAGAGUGAUGUAGGGGAGACUGGAAUUCCUGGUGUAGCGGUGAAAUGCGCAGAUAUCAGGAGGAACACCGGUGGCGAAGGCGGGUCUCUGGGCAACAACUGACGCUGAGGAGCGAAAGCGUGGGGAGCGAACAGG